RNAcentral lists this ribosomal RNA (107 nucleotides) under Candidatus Enterosoma merdigallinarum. Lineage: Bacteria; Bacillati; Bacillota; Bacilli; Caryophanales. The record is from RNAcentral.
GGCGGCGACGACGGCCCGGCGGACACACCCGAUCCCAUCCCGAACUCGGAAGUUAAGCGCCGCGGCGGCGAAAAUACCCCUCGGGGCAAGAUAGCUCGUCGCCGCUU